UGGUAACUACUGAGACCCUCUGGUGGA
Molecule: non-coding RNA, 27 nt
Filed under: Mus musculus (house mouse)
Lineage: Eukaryota; Metazoa; Chordata; Mammalia; Rodentia; Muridae
Source: RNAcentral